Molecule: ribosomal RNA, 773 nt
Filed under: uncultured Neocallimastigales
Lineage: Eukaryota; Fungi; Neocallimastigomycota; Neocallimastigomycetes; Neocallimastigales
Description: partial large subunit ribosomal RNA
Rfam family: Eukaryotic large subunit ribosomal RNA
Source: RNAcentral
GUACACGCUGUGACUAGCAUAUCAAUAAGCGGAGGAAAAGAAACUAACAAGGAUUCCCCUAGUAACGGCGAGUGAAGCGGGAAGAGCUCAAAUUUGAAAUCUCAAAGGGUUUCCCUUUACGAAUUGUAGUUUAAGGAAGUGUUUUCUGUUGAGGUUUGGUAAAAGUUCUUUGGAAUAGGACAUCAUAGAGGGUGAGAAUCCCGUAUUCGACCUUUACUUUCAACUUUGUGAUACACUUUCAAAGAGUCGGAUUGUUUGGGAAUGCAGUCCAAAAUGGGUGGUAAAUUUCAUCUAAAGCUAAAUAUUGGCGAGAGACCGAUAGCGAACAAGUACCGUGAGGGAAAGAUGAAAAGAACUUUGAAAAGAGAGUUAAACAGUACGUGAAAUUGUCAAAAGGGAAGCGUUUGACACCAGUGUUGUUUUUCUGAAAAUCAAUUAAAGAACUGUUUAUGCUAAGUUGUUUAGACUUUAUCAGCUAUCUGUUUAGUUUUGAGCUUUUCUUUAAUGCACUUUUCAGUUAACAAGUCAACAUCAAUUUCUUUUGCUGUAAAAAAGCUUGAGGAAGGUGGCUUGAGAUUCGUCUUAAGUGUUUAUAGCCUCUUGCCUAUGCAGUCGGAGAGAUUGAGGUCUGCAGCGUAGAUCCUUCGGGGCUAAAUGCAUUUGUGCUAAGUUAUAACAUUUUAUAGACAACUUGUUGACUAUGAUUUGUCUUGUAACUUACUCGCUUAUGUUAUUUUACCUACGCUUAGGAUGUUGACGCGCGUGUGUGCGUG